GAAUGUGAGGAUGAUCUGUCUGCAACCUCUGUCACUCCACUAAUCGCCAGAGUUGAUUCAGCUCUUGGGCUGGCUGGGCUAUGGGGGGUGUCCCUCUCCUCCCUCGUGGUUCCAUGUGUGUCCCUCUGAAGCUUGGUUAAAAAACACAAGAACCUUCCCCAAAUAGAGGAGGACUGGUCCUCAGACAAGGGUGAGAGUAGCUGCGCUCCCCUGCUAGAGCCUCCUAACAAGCUCCCAAAUGUCAAACAGAAAAGAACAGAAACUUGAUCAGACCUCCUAGAGUUAGUUGGCUUACUCA
RNAcentral lists this small nuclear RNA (298 nucleotides) under Mus pahari (shrew mouse). RNAcentral's name for it is "sRNA (MGP_PahariEiJ_G0007987.1)". It matches the Rfam family "7SK RNA". Rfam says of the family: 7SK was discovered as an abundant small nuclear RNA in the mid-70s but a possible function has only recently been suggested. Two independent studies have found that 7SK RNA binds the CDK9/cyclin T complex (known as elongation factor P-TEFb). The record is from RNAcentral. Lineage: Eukaryota; Metazoa; Chordata; Mammalia; Rodentia; Muridae.